UGGGGAAUAUUGCACAAUGGAGGAAACUCUGAUGCAGCGACGCCGCGUGAGGGAAGAAGGUUUUCGGAUUGUAAACCUCUGUCUUUAGGGAAGAUUAUGACGGUACCUAAGGAGGAAGCCACGGCUAACUACGUGCCAGCAGCCGCGGUAAUACGUAGGUGGCAAGCGUUGUCCGGAAUUACUGGGUGUAAAGGGAGCGUAGGCGGGUAAUCAAGUUGAAUGUGAAAUUUAUGGGCUCAACCCAUAAGCUGCGUUCAAAACUGAAUAUCUUGAGUGAAGUAGAGGCAAGCGGAAUUCCUAGUGUAGCGGUGAAAUGCGUAGAUAUUAGGAGGAACACCAGUGGCGAAGGCGGCUUGCUGGGCUUUUACUGACGCUGAGGCUCGAAAGCGUGGGGAGCAAACA
The sequence is a ribosomal RNA, 402 nucleotides long. It matches the Rfam family "Bacterial small subunit ribosomal RNA", at positions 355 to 774 of the family's 1533-position model.